RNAcentral lists this ribosomal RNA (253 nucleotides) under uncultured bacterium. RNAcentral describes it as "partial 16S ribosomal RNA". It matches the Rfam family "Bacterial small subunit ribosomal RNA", at positions 524 to 776 of the family's 1533-position model. The record is from RNAcentral.
UACAGAGGUCUCAAGCGUUGUUCGGAUUCAUUGGGCGUAAAGGGUGCGUAGGUGGCGAGGUUAGUCAGGUGUGAAAUCUCGGGGCUCAACCCCGAAACUGCACUUGAUACUGCCUUGCUAGAGUACUGGAGAGGAGAUUGGAAUUUACGGUGUAGCGGUGAAAUGCGUAGAUAUCGUAAGGAAGACCAGUGGCGAAGGCGGGUCUCUGGACAGUUCCUGACGCUGAGGCACGAAGGCCAGGGGAGCAAACGGG